CCUACGGGAGGCAGCAGUGAGGAAUAUUGGUCAAUGGGCGGAAGCCUGAACCAGCCAAGUAGCGUGCAGGAUGACGGCCCUACGGGUUGUAAACUGCUUUUAUACGAGGGUAAACGCAGAUACGCGUAUCUGUCUGAAAGUAUCGUACGAAUAAGGAUCGGCUAACUCCGUGCCAGCAGCCGCGGUAAACAGGAGGAUUCAAGCGUUAUCCGGAUUUAUUGGGUUUAAAGGGUGCGUAGGCGGUCGGAUAAGUUAGAGGUGAAAUCCCGGGGCUCAACUUCGGAAUUGCCUCUGAAACUGUUCGGCUAGAGAGUAGUUGCAGUAGGCGGAAUGUAUGGUGUAGCGGUGAAAUGCUUAGAGAUCAUACAGAACACCGAUUGCGAAGGCAGCUUACCAAGCUACUUCUGACGUUGAGGCACGAAAGCGUGGGGAGCAAACAGGAUUAGAUACCCCUGUAGUC
Molecule: ribosomal RNA, 460 nt
Filed under: uncultured bacterium
Lineage: Bacteria
Description: partial 16S ribosomal RNA
Rfam family: Bacterial small subunit ribosomal RNA
Source: RNAcentral